Molecule: ribosomal RNA, 768 nt
Filed under: uncultured Mesorhizobium sp.
Lineage: Bacteria; Pseudomonadati; Pseudomonadota; Alphaproteobacteria; Hyphomicrobiales; Phyllobacteriaceae
Description: bacterial SSU rRNA
Rfam family: Bacterial small subunit ribosomal RNA
Source: RNAcentral
GCCCUCUUUGAGGGAGUGGCGGACGGGUGAGUAACGCGUGGGAACGUGCCCAAAGGUUGGGAAUAACUUGGGGAAACUCAAGCUAAUACCUAAUACGCCCUUCGGGGGAAAGAUUUAUCGCCUUUGGAUCGGCCCGCGUUGGAUUAGCUAGUUGGUGAGGUAAUGGCUCACCAAGGCGACGAUCUAUAGCUGGUUUGAGAGGAUGAUCAGCCACACUGGGACUGAGACACGGCCCAGACUCCUACGGGAGGCAGCAGUGGGGAAUCUUGGACAAUGGGGGCAACCCUGAUCCAGCCAUGCCGCGUGAGUGAAGAAGGCCCUAGGGUUGUAAAGCUCUUUCGCCUGCGAGGAUAAUGACCGUAGCAGGAUAAGAAGCCCCGGCUAACUCCGUGCCAGCAGCCGCGGUAAUACGGAGGGGGCUAGCGUUGUUCGGAAUUACUGGGCGUAAAGCGCGCGUAGGCGGAUCAGUCAGUCAGGGGUGAAAUCCCGGGGCUCAACCCUGGAACUGCCUUUCAUACUGGCGAUCUUGAGUUCGAGAGAGGUGAGUGGAAUUCCCAGUGUAGAGGUGAAAUUCGUAGAUAUUGGGAAGAACACCAGAGGCGAAGGCGGCUCUCUGGCCUAUUACUGACGCUGAGGUGCGAAAGCGUGGGGAGCGAACAGGAUUAGAUACCCUGGUAGUCCACGCCGUAAACGAUGAAAGCUAGUUGUUGGCGAGCAUGCUUGUCAGUGACGCAGCAAACGCAUUAAGCCUUCCGCCUGGGGAGUACG